UACGUAGGGUGCGAGCGUUGUCCGGAUUUAUUGGGCGUAAAGGGCUCGUAGGUGGUCGAUCGCGUCGGAAGUGUAAUCUUGGGGCUUAACCCUGAGCGUGCUUUCGAUACGGGUUGACUUGAGGAAGGUAGGGGAGAAUGGAAUUCCUGGUGGAGCGGUGGAAUGCGCAGAUAUCAGGAGGAACACCAGUGGCGAAGGCGGUUCUCUGGGCCUUUCCUGACGCUGAGGAGCGAAAGCGUGGGGAGCGAACAG
Molecule: ribosomal RNA, 252 nt
Filed under: uncultured bacterium
Lineage: Bacteria
Description: partial 16S ribosomal RNA
Rfam family: Bacterial small subunit ribosomal RNA
Source: RNAcentral